AAAAGUUGAGGUUGGAUAUUGAAAUUAGGGCUUUCUCACCAAAAAGAGUAGUGCAUCACUCAUCUUUUUCCUCUCCUUCAAACACAACUCGCUUAAAUGUCUCUCUGAACACCAGCAGCUCCAUCCGAAUCCAGCUUACCCUUAACGCUUGCCACCAUCUCCACCUUUCAUGCUCCGAAAACCCAACUCUCGUACAUCACUAGCUCCACGCCCUUCAUCCUUCCUAUCCAAACUGACCGAAGCCCAGCACUUCUCAAAUAGUGCAUCACCAUACCCAUUUUGUCACAACUCAUAAAACCCACAUAAAACUACAACACCUUCGAAGUCACCCUCACAAAGUUUAAAUCAUCUCCUUCGAUUUUCUAUUUAGUCAUAAUCUCAGUCCCGAGGGCCACAUAGAACUUCACUGUUCUCAGACCCACCUACGAUGCCCCACCUUUGAGUGCUCACUCCUCCAAGGUUUCCUCUGCUCCGCGCAACUCCUCCUCGUGUCUAUUAGGAAAAUGUCUUUUAAGCUUAUGGCUUUACGCAUAAAUUUAUUAAAGAAUAAGAGAUAAGCACAGGUGAAGCAGCUGAAAAGGGAAUUGGCUCAAUUGCUAGAGAUUGGCCAGGACCAAAUUGCGAGAAUUCGGGUUCUCCUAAGAUAUCCAAAGAAUGCUUGUACUAGCUCCUGGCAUGGCACACAGCCAUACCAAAUCAUAUGUGUGAUCAAAGGGAAGGAAGUUUGAGAGAAGGAACAACGGGGGAUUUAGGCUUUGAGUUGUUUUUAGUUUCAAAUUGUGAGGUAGUCAUUUUAUUUAUGACUAUUAUGUCCAAAAUUUCGUUAGACUCUAAGUUCUGGAAUUUGUUUAUGUUAUUUCCCCUUUGGGUUAUCAAUUACCCAUUUGAAUUUUUUAUGUUAUUUUGUUUUUAUAAUAUUUUAUUUUUUCAUAUAGUACAUUAUUAUUAUUAUUAUUA
Molecule: long non-coding RNA, 957 nt
Organism: Hevea brasiliensis (rubber tree)
Lineage: Eukaryota; Viridiplantae; Streptophyta; Magnoliopsida; Malpighiales; Euphorbiaceae
Exons: 3
Source: RefSeq, a predicted model, not a curated record